This is a long non-coding RNA of Pan troglodytes (chimpanzee), 512 nucleotides long. RefSeq lists it as uncharacterized. The record is from RefSeq and is a predicted model, not a curated record. NCBI's taxonomy places the organism in Eukaryota, Metazoa, Chordata, Mammalia, Primates, Hominidae. The transcript has 2 exons.
AUAUUCCCCCAAGUCAGGGAGUGAACGCUGCAUCCAGUCCAUGGACCCCAUGCAGAUCUCGCCAGCUGUCCCAACAGUGUCUUGUCCUUUCCUGGUCCAGGGUCCCUGUCAAGAGCAUCCCAAUCUGUCAUCCAGGCUGGAGUGCAGCAGUGUGAUCCUGGCUCACUGCAACCUUGAUCUCCUGGGCUUUCCUCCUACCUCAGCCUCCCGAAUAGCUGAGACUACAGGUGUGCACAUCCAUGCCCAGCUACUUUUUUUUUGUACAGUCGAGGUCUUGCUAUGUUGCCCAGACUGCUAACUACUUUUAAGUGUACAGUUUAUUCAUAAUGUGUAGCCACCACAAUCCAACUCCAUAACUUUUCAUUUUGUAAAACUUAAACUGUUCCCAUGAAACACUAACUCCCCUCGCAUGCUCCCUCCAGCCCCUGGAAACCACCACUUGUCUAUGAUUUUCACUCUAGGAACCUCCUAUAAAUGGACAGUAUCUGCCCUUCUGUGGCUGGUUUAUCUUA